GGAAGUAAAAGUCGUAACAAGGUUUCCGUAGGUGAACCUGCGGAAGGAUCAUUAUUGAAUUUUGAGGGGGGGGGGGAAGAUGAGGAGUGGAGAUUGUCGCUGGCCUGCCCUGGGCAUGUGCACGUCUUUCUUCUUGUUGACCCUUUCUCACACACACACACCUGUGCACCUAUUGUAGGUCCUUGAAAGAGGAUCUAUGUUUUUUCAUAUCACACCUGUCGUAUGUCUAUAGAAUGUAUUGAAAACCGUAGACCCAUUCAUUUGGGCCGGCGGUCAAUAAAUAAAUUUACAACUUUCAGCAACGGAUCUCUUGGCUCUCGCAUCGAUGAAGAACGCAGCGAAUUGCGAUAAGUAAUGUGAAUUGCAGAUUUUCAGUGAAUCAUCGAAUCUUUGAACGCACCUUGCGCUCCUUGGUAUUCCGAGGAGCAUGCCUGUUUGAGUGUCAUCGAAUUUCUCAAACCCCCAUGUCUUAAUGGCAUUGGGGCUUUGGAUUUGGGGGCUGCUGGCAGCAAAAAGCUGUCAGCUCUCCUGAAAUGCAUUAGCAAAAGGAUGGCAAGUUCCUUGACGUGCACGGCCUUCGACGUGAUAAUGAUCGUCGUGGCUGGAGCGUUGGGACAUGCAUGAAUCAUCCAUGCUGCUUCUAAUCCCCCACUAGCCUCAAGUUUAGUUGCUUUAGCUACUAGUCAGUCGUAAGGCUGAUGAAUGUUGAGUGGGCUAAACUGGGCUUGUUUAUUUCGAAACUUGACCUCAAAUCAGGUAGGACUACCCGCUGAACUUAAGCAUAUCAAUAAGCGGAGG
RNAcentral lists this ribosomal RNA (798 nucleotides) under Butyriboletus sp. 1 KZ-2014. RNAcentral describes it as "eukaryotic LSU rRNA". The stretch from base 291 to 445 matches the Rfam family "5.8S ribosomal RNA". The record is from RNAcentral. Lineage: Eukaryota; Fungi; Basidiomycota; Agaricomycetes; Boletales; Boletaceae.